Molecule: ribosomal RNA, 208 nt
Filed under: uncultured bacterium
Lineage: Bacteria
Description: partial 16S ribosomal RNA
Rfam family: Bacterial small subunit ribosomal RNA
Source: RNAcentral
UCGGAUUGUAGUCUGCAACCCGACUACAUGAAGCUGGAAUCGCUAGUAAUCGCGGAUCAGAAUGCCGCGGUGAAUACGUUCCCGGGUCUUGUACACACCGCCCGUCACACCAUGGGAGUCGGAAAUGCCCGAAGUCUGUGACCUAACCGUAAGGAAGGAGCAGCCGAAGGCAGGUCGGAUGACUGGGGUGAAGUCGUAACAAGGUACC